GCGGCAAGAGCUCAAAUUUGAAAUCUGGCUCCUUCGGGGCCCGAGUUGUAAUUUGUAGAGGAUGCUUCGGGCGUGGCCGCGGUCUAAGUCCCCUGGAACGGGGCGUCGCAGAGGGUGAGAAUCCCGUCUUCGGCCGGCCGGCCCCGCCCGUGUGAAGCUCCUUCGACGAGUCGAGUUGUUUGGGAAUGCAGCUCUAAAUGGGUGGUAAAUUUCAUCUAAAGCUAAAUACUGGUCGGAGACCGAUAGCGCACAAGUAGAGUGAUCGAAAGAUGAAAAGCACUUUGAAAAGAGAGUUAAACAGCAUGUGAAAUUGUUGAAAGGGAAGCGCUUGCGACCAGAGUCGGCCGCGGGGGCUCAGCGGGCACUCGUUGCCCGUGCACUCCCCCGUGGUCGGGCCAGCGUCGGUUUCGACGGCCGGUCAAAGGCCCCCGGAAUGUGUCGCCUCUCGGGGCGUCUUAUAGCCGGGGGUGCAAUGCGGCCAGUCGGGACCGAGGAACGCGCUCCGGCACGGACGCUGGCUUAAUGGUCGUAAGCGACCCGUCUUGAAACACGGACCAAGGAGUCUAACAUCCACGCGAGUGUUCGGGUGUCAAACCCGUCCGCGCA
RNAcentral lists this ribosomal RNA (606 nucleotides) under Paracoccidioides brasiliensis. Its description in RNAcentral is "eukaryotic LSU rRNA". It matches the Rfam family "Eukaryotic large subunit ribosomal RNA", at positions 98 to 718 of the family's 3401-position model. The record is from RNAcentral. Lineage: Eukaryota; Fungi; Ascomycota; Eurotiomycetes; Onygenales; Ajellomycetaceae.